GAUGAACGAUGGCGGCGUGCCUAAUACAUGCAAGUCGAGCGAACGGACGAGAAGCUUGCUUCUCUGAUGUUAGCGGCGGACGGGUGAGUAAAACGUGGAUAACCUACCUAUAAGACUGGGAUAACUUCGGGAAACAGGAGCUAAUACCGGAUAAUAUUUUGAACCGCAUGGUUCAAAAGUGAAAGACGGUCUUGCUGUCACGUAUAGAUGGAUCCGCGCUGCAUUAGCUAGUUGGUAAGGUAACGGCUUACCAAGGCAACGAUGCAUAGCCGACCUGAGAGCGUGAUCGGCCACACUGGAACUGAGACACGGUCCAGACUCCUACGGUAGGCAGCAGUAGGGAAUCUUCCGCAAUGGGCGAAAGCCUGACGGAGCAACGCCGCGUGAGUGAUGAAGGUCUUCGGAUCGUAAAACUCUGUUAUUAGGGAAGAACAUACGUGUAAGUAACUGUGCACAUCUUGACGGUACCUAAUCAGAAAGCCACGGCUAACUACGUG
This 497-nucleotide ribosomal RNA is filed under the name uncultured bacterium. RNAcentral's name for it is "partial 16S ribosomal RNA". It matches the Rfam family "Bacterial small subunit ribosomal RNA", at positions 28 to 507 of the family's 1533-position model. The record is from RNAcentral.